UAGGGAAUCUUCCGCAAUGGGCGAAAGCCUGACGGAGCAACGCCGCGUGAGUGAUGAAGGUCUUCGGAUCGUAAAACUCUGUUAUUAGGGAAGAACAAAUGUGUAAGUAACUAUGCACGUCUUGACGGUACCUAAUCAGAAAGCCACGGCUAACUACGUGCCAGCAGCCGCGGUAAUACGUAGGUGGCAAGCGUUAUCCGGAAUUAUUGGGCGUAAAGCGCGCGUAGGCGGUUUUUUAAGUCUGAUGUGAAAGCCCACGGCUCAACCGUGGAGGGUCAUUGGAAACUGGAAAACUUGAGUGCAGAAGAGGAAAGUGGAAUUCCAUGUGUAGCAGUGAAAUGCGAAGAGAUAUGGAGGAACACCAGUGGCGAAGGCGACUUUCUGGUCUGUAACUGACGCUGAUGUGCGAAAGCGUGGGGAUCAAACAGG
RNAcentral lists this ribosomal RNA (429 nucleotides) under Actinomycetes bacterium. RNAcentral describes it as "Actinobacteria bacterium partial 16S ribosomal RNA". It matches the Rfam family "Bacterial small subunit ribosomal RNA", at positions 355 to 776 of the family's 1533-position model. Lineage: Bacteria; Bacillati; Actinomycetota; Actinomycetes. The record is from RNAcentral.